Tupaia belangeri (northern tree shrew) is the source of this 128-nucleotide small nucleolar RNA. Lineage: Eukaryota; Metazoa; Chordata; Mammalia; Scandentia; Tupaiidae. The record is from Ensembl.
ACUGAAGCUAGAGUCAUACUUUGGUAAAAAGCUGUUGUCUUAGUAAGUCAGAGUCCUCCGAGAGAACUGCUGGCUUUGUUGACUGAUUGGACCUCCUGGCACAGUUGGUAACCACGGUAGUGACUUGC